GUUUCUGCCGUUUCACUGUAGACAAAAUGAAUUCAUCUCUUUUUCUUGCCUUACAGAAAGAAGACGACAACGAAAGGAGAGGAGAGUGGAGCUGAAGAAGGCUGCCCUCAGAGCUGCCGCUGCACGUGCAGAGGUGAGUCCUUGGUGAACACAGACACGGCUCUUCUUGUUCUCAGGGCCUCCGUCUGUCACACAUGAAAGGAAGAGAGUGUAAAAUCCCGAGGGAAGUGGUGUCCUGUUUCUACCCUCGCUCCGUUUCUUCCCAGGCCUCCGCAGUGGACAGCCUUGUGGAGAUGAUGCAGAAGCUGCAGCUGAAGGACUGAGAGGAGGAGCGUCAGCAGGCAGCAGCUUCUGCAGUGCGCGGCGUUACAGGGCAGCGCUGAGUGCCGCCCAUCUCAGCACUCCACCUUCAAACGAAGUCAAUAAAAACCAGUCAAAUUUAUAGAUUCACAGAGUGCGAAAGGCCUGAUUUGUCCAGCGGCACUCGGAGAGCUGCUGCACCACCUCCUCGUUAUUGGUCUCGCGGCGCUCGCUCAGAACUGCCACAGCUCCGUCAGCGAAUGCUGUCGUCCAGUGAUGCAACGGAGGCAGCAGUCCUUUGCACUGCCCACAGACAGACUGUCUGCAAAGCACAUGCAAAGAGCUGCAGGGAACAAAGCCUGGCCAUGAGCGUGCUAACUUGGAGAGCAACGCUGUGGAGAUUGCUGAGUUUCCCAGGGCAGCACCGAGCGUUUUUUGCUGUGAUGACGGGUGUACAAUGAGCAAAGUUCAGCAAAAGGACGGCGUUUUCUGAAAAAAUGACAGGCUGUUGGUCCAGAGGAGCAUCUCUGCAGCUUAGGACCACCAGGCUGCCAUCCCGGCACUGUUCUGCUUGCAGACAGCGCUCCAUGUUGUGGCACUCAGAGGGCGUCCCUCUGCCGCGCAGCCCUCCCCAGUGUCUGCCUGCCUGUCACUGCUCCAGAUGGGAUGGAGCUGUUUCCUUUGCAGUGCCUCCCAUGGCGCUGUGUUCACAAGCGUGCACCCCAUCCCUCUGCACACCCACGAGCACGAAGACUCGAGCACUGCUCCAGCCUUGCACACUGCCAUGUGCAUGCACACAGAUGCAAAACUUUCACCUGCAAGCACUGUGCACACAGCGACGUGCAAUGCAUGCUCUGAUGUUCAGCCCCACCUCUGCACACCCCCGUAUGCACGCAUACCUGCACUCACAGCUCGAGGACAAAAUGCUGCUGGCACGGCACAGCCAACACGCAGGCGGUGGGUAAUGUCAGGAGGAAAGGCGCCCCCUUACGCUCAUUCAUUCUCCUCUCUUGAAUGAAUGCAUCGGGGCACAGCUGAAGCCCCAUCCUGAGAUGUGGAUUGAUGUGGGGUUCCUCAUCGGUGGGAUAUGGGGAUCCUGGGAUGGUGAUGGCGGUCCUCUCAGAAACUGUGGGAGUCCGAGAAGCAGGGGGGGGGGCUGAGGGUGUAAGGGAUAUCUGAGAAAGGAAAUAGGGGGGUUCAGCGGGAGCUCAGAGGGGGACGUGGGUUGCUGCUGGGGACUGUGGGGCUCUGUGAGGUCCCAGGUUUCCGGGGGGAGGUGUACUGGGAAAAGGUUUUUGAGGAGCUAUGGGGCUCUGUGGGGGCCGUGGGGGGGAUAUAGGGACAUUGGGGGAUAUGGGGACACAGCCUUCAGGAGCAGAAUGCUGUUCAGGAGAAGACAAGACGUGAGCUGCAGGUGGGACACAGGGGUAUGGGGUAGUAUGGGGACAUAGAGAGUAUGGGAGGAUGUGGGGAGCAGUUUGAGGUAAAAAGAGGUUGGGGGGGGAAGUGUUGGAGUGGUUUCAUUUCAUCUUGAGAGGAGACUGGGCGUCCCUGUGGCCCAAAGGUGGGGCCCUGAGCCGUAACCCCACAUGAGCCAUAACCCAAGAUGACCUCAUCACCCUGUAUGUGCGUGACCCCAUGGCUGCACGUGACCCGCAGCCCUGGGGGAACCAUACCCCCACAUGACCCUGUGACUCCCUGACUCUGCCUGCUCCCAUCACACUGUGAUCCAAUGCCAUGUGUCCCCAUGACUCUGGGAUCCCUGCCCCCACCUCACCCCGACCAUACAACCCCAUGGGACCAUGAACUCCAUGUCACCCAAUCUGAGCCUAUAGCCCCACAUCACCCCGUAACUCUGACACUGCUGGACCACCAUGUCACACACGACCCCACGUCCUCACCUCAUGUGGAUGUAGAACCAGUUGCGUGUGGGGAAAAGGCAUCUCCUCCUCUGGGUGGAGCUGCCCCACAGCUGCCCCAAAGAAGCCAUGGGGAGGGCUGCAGCCGUACGCCUCAGUUUGGAGAGCUGGGAACUGGCCAAAGGGGCCAGAAGAAGAACAUGAAUGCUUCUGUAGGGAAAUACCUGUCCCAGGGUUUGGUGGGUUCGUAGCUUCUGUUUCUGUAAGUGGAUGAGAAGAGAACAAACUGAUCCCACUGAGACCGGGGAAGGGACUGGAGCUUGGCUUGAACCAGGAACGGAGCAGGGAUGGACUGAAGCAAAUCAACUCUUUCAUGGGACAGUGGCAGAAGAAACCCAAGUCAGCUGCAGAACGAAAAACACAACCCCUUACAAAAGGGCGUCCCAGACUGGGGCCGUUGCAGCAGUAGGGGCAGUGCCUCUUGGAAGGGAUCUCGCGGUGAGACUGAAACCUUUUCAAAAGGCAUUAUGAAACAAAAUUAGAUUAUUAAACAUAAUCAUUAAACAUAAACAGAUUACCUAAAGCCCAAGGAGAAAACACGUUUCAGAUUGAAGACCACAAAAGCAUCAUAUUCUAUUGCAAGACAACUUCAGUUCCAGUUUCAAUUUCAUGACUAGCAUUUCACCCUCCCUGCUGUGGAAAGGGGGGAAAGAAGGAAGGGAGAGCCUUCUCGCCCCACAUCCCUUUAGAGAUCACCCUAUAGCUCCAGAUCAUCCUAUGGACCCACACAGCCCCUUAGAGGACCACAUCCUCCAAACACCCCCUAUAGCCUUAUAUCUCCCUAUAUCCCCAAAUAGCCCACCACAGCCCCUCUGUAACCCCCAAAGCCCCAUUUUAGCCCCCCAUACCUUCUCCAGCAUAACAUCCCUCUCUACAGACCCUCCCUGGCCCCCUAUCAUCCUAUACCCUCCCACAGCCUGCCACAACCCCCUAAAAAUUCACUACUACCCAUAUCUCCCUAUAUCCCCUCCACAGCCCCCUAUAGCCUCCUACCCUACUAGAACCCUCCUACAGACCACCCACAGCUCCCUAAAGCCCCAUAACCACCUAUAAAGCUCCUAUAGCCUCUCCAUAGAACCAUAUAGCUUUCCCAAUAGCCCCCUACAGCGUCAUAAUAUUCCCCUGCUCCCUACAGCCACAUAGCACCCCAUGUCCCCUCUACAGCCCUAAGACCCUCCCUACAGUCCCCCAGCCUCUAAAGCCCAAUCUCCCCUUAUAGCUCCCCACAGACCCACACUGGCCCUAGACUCCCUCCAGAGCCCCCCACACUCUCCCAUAUCCAGCCUCAUAUCCCCCUAGAACCCUUCUAGACUCCAUAUCUCCCCUAUAUCCCCACAGACACCCUAUAUCCUCCCUCAGGCCCCCACAAUCUCCUACAGCACAACAUCCUGCCCUAGAGCCCCCCCCAACCCCUAGCACCCUCAACCCUCCCACAUGUUGCCACAAACCCCUAAAGCCACAUAUCCCCCUCGAACACACCUAUAGCCCUUACAGCCCCCUCAUAGAACCGUGGAGCUCCUCCCAAAGCCCCCUACAGACCCAUAUCACCCCUAUACCCCCACAGCCCCCUAGAGAACCAAAUCCCCCUAUAUCCCCC
This 3816-nucleotide long non-coding RNA is filed under the name Gallus gallus (chicken). Its description in RNAcentral is "lncRNA (ENSGALG00010029071.1)". The record is from RNAcentral. Lineage: Eukaryota; Metazoa; Chordata; Aves; Galliformes; Phasianidae.